UGUCCUCCAUAGGAGGUCUAUAUUGAGCAGAUUCUUUUUGGUAUUGGGUGGUGGAACCGGAGCGUGCUCCAUCUACUCUAUGCAUUGACCUGGUAUUGCAGUGCUUCCAGGACCGGUGC
RNAcentral lists this small nuclear RNA (119 nucleotides) under Crocodylus porosus (Australian saltwater crocodile). RNAcentral describes it as "U2 spliceosomal RNA (ENSCPRG00005004737.1)". It matches the Rfam family "U2 spliceosomal RNA", at positions 67 to 185 of the family's 192-position model. Rfam says of the family: U2 is a small nuclear RNA (snRNA) component of the spliceosome (involved in pre-mRNA splicing). Complementary binding between U2 snRNA (in an area lying towards the 5' end but 3' to hairpin I) and the branchpoint sequence (BPS) of the intron results the bulging out of an unpaired adenosine, on the BPS, which initiates a nucleophilic attack at the intronic 5' splice site, thus starting the first of two transesterification reactions that mediate splicing. Lineage: Eukaryota; Metazoa; Chordata; Crocodylia; Crocodylidae. The record is from RNAcentral.